RNAcentral lists this ribosomal RNA (468 nucleotides) under uncultured bacterium. Its description in RNAcentral is "partial 16S ribosomal RNA". It matches the Rfam family "Bacterial small subunit ribosomal RNA", at positions 28 to 507 of the family's 1533-position model. The record is from RNAcentral.
GACGAACGCUGGCGGCGUGCUUAACACAUGCAAGUCGAGCGGAAAGGCCCUGCUUUUGUGGGGUGCUCGAGUGGCGAACGGGUGAGUAACACGUGAGUAACCUGCCCUUGACUUUGGGAUAACUUCAGGAAACUGGGGCUAAUACCGGAUAGGAGCUCCUGCUGCAUGGUGGGGGUUGGAAAGUUUCGGCGGUUGGGGAUGGACUCGCGGCUUAUCAGCUUGUUGGUGGGGUAGUGGCUUACCAAGGCUUUGACGGGUAGCCGGCCUGAGAGGGUGACCGGCCACAUUGGGACUGAGAUACGGCCCAGACUCCUACGGGAGGCAGCAGUGGGGAAUAUUGCACAAUGGGCGGGAGCCUGAUGCAGCAACGCCGCGUGCGGGAUGACGGCCUUCGGGUUGUAAACCGCUUUCGCCUGUGACGAAGCGUGAGUGACGGUAAUGGGUAAAGAAGCACCGGCUAACUACGUG